ACAAUUUGCCAAACUGGUCGCCUCCCUGAUCAUAAAUGGAGAAUUUGGAUGGUCUUCUCCUUCAUAUACUCCUAUCUGAUUUGAAUUUCCGUAGUAAUGGUUUGGUAUCGUUCGCUAGGGUUCCGAUGGGGGUUUUCGGUGACUAUGACGUCUGGAUCUCGUAACCGUCGUCAGUGGAGGAGCGGCGGCUGCGGUUGAUAAACACGUGGAUUCGUCUUCUGACGACUUGAUAUUGGGUGGAAGGAUUGCAGAUUUGGGGUCGCCAAUUGGGGCUUCGACUCUCGUCGUCGGUUUAGCUGAUCAGAGCUUUCUCUCCAGGUAAGGUUUCAAAUAUUAAUCGCAGAGCAGAAGAGGUCAAUCAAGUAGCAGCCAUGGUUCACAUCUACUUUUACCGUAUCUAAACAAUGAAUCGAAAGUGGACUAAUCUGUUAACUUGAUUCGUUAUUAAGUAUGCCGGUUAAACUAUUCCGAUGGUACAACUACACACCACCGAGGCUGCCACCGAACACACGGUUACAGCGUCUUAUCGAGCAUUGACCGUUACAGCUACUGUUUCGAUUUCAGGUGCAUGCCUAUGAGCGGGUGAAUAGAGUGUACAAUUACAAUUUGGACCCGUGUAUAUAACGAUUGGAGACGUUGGUAACAUUGAGAAGAUUGAUGUGGAUCAUGCAGAUGAACCCGGAAAAUGUCCUUCUCCUGGUGAUAAUGUACCCGAAUUUGGAGGGGCAUGUCAUAUAAAUUUUACCCCGAGCCCUACAAAGGGCAAGUUUUGCUGGGAUAAACGGCCUGAAUGGAGUGCUUAUGGAGAAAGCAGCUUCGGACAUGGCAUUCUCGAGAAUGCACCAUAUUUGUGCACAAAAAAUGGCAUUACGCUUCCUGCCCCCGUGUGAAGGAGCCACCUUCUUUAUGGGAAAAUGCUUAAGAUUGAUGUGAUAUACCUGUAGUUCCUUUUGAAGGUUUUUGAUGUACUCAAUAGCCAUAUCUGCUGUAUUACUAUGCUGCAGAUUCAAAAUGUGAUUUUAGUGGCUACACCAACUCCAACAGUUGGUUUUACGGCUACCAUAAAAACUCGAAUCGAGACACUCAAAACAUUUGAGAUGGGUAAUGGGACGCUUAUUCAGAUAUGACACCUGAUAUAGGGUUAAUUAUAAACUUUUCCAUGGGUUUGAGAUGGGUAUGGUAUUAAGUGAUAGCUGUCUAAUACAAGUCCUUCUACCUGUUUGCCGGCAUCGAAACCCAUUUGUUAUAUUAUGUUAUAUUAUCGAAAGAUGGGGAUUAUAAUUGAAUCUGAUGAGUCGUGACACCCGUUGCAACGCGCGGGCCUUCCACUAGUAGUAAAAAAAGAAAAUCUAAGGGCUGUAGGAAACCCUCAAAUAUGGUUCACUAACUUUGGAAGCAAAUGAUUAUAUAUAAUAAUUGUUUUC
Molecule: long non-coding RNA, 1424 nt
Filed under: Helianthus annuus (common sunflower)
Lineage: Eukaryota; Viridiplantae; Streptophyta; Magnoliopsida; Asterales; Asteraceae
Description: hypothetical non coding rna
Source: RNAcentral